UACGGGGGGAGCAAGCGUUGUUCGGAUUUACUGGGCGUAAAGGGCGCGUAGGCGGCGCAACAAGUCACUUGUGAAAUCUCCGGGCUUAACCCGGAGCGGCCAAGUGAUACUGUCGUGCUAGAGUGCGGAAGGGGCUACUGGAAUUCUCGGUGUAGCGGUGAAAUGCGUAGAUAUCGAGAGGAGCACCUGCGGCGAAGGCGGGUUGCUGGGCCGACACUGACGCUGAUGCGCGAAAGCCAGGGGAGCGAACGGG
RNAcentral lists this ribosomal RNA (253 nucleotides) under uncultured bacterium. RNAcentral describes it as "partial 16S ribosomal RNA". It matches the Rfam family "Bacterial small subunit ribosomal RNA", at positions 524 to 776 of the family's 1533-position model. The record is from RNAcentral.